GACGAACGCUGGCGGCGUGCCUAAUACAUGCAAGUAGAACGCUGAAGAGAGGAGCUUGCUCUUCUUGGAUGAGUUGCGAACGGGUGAGUAACGCGUAGGUAACCUGCCUGGUAGCGGGGGAUAACUAUUGGAAACGAUAGCUAAUACCGCAUAAAAUUGAUUAUUGCAUGAUAAUUAAUUGAAAGAUGCAAUUGCAUCACUACCAGAUGGACCUGCGUUGUAUUAGCUAGUUGGUGAGGUAACGGCUCACCAAGGCGACGAUACAUAGCCGACCUGAGAGGGUGAUCGGCCACACUGGGACUGAGACACGGCCCAGACUCCUACGGGAGGCAGCAGUAGGGAAUCUUCGGCAAUGGGGGGAACCCUGACCGAGCAACGCCGCGUGAGUGAAGAAGGUUUUCGGAUCGUAAAGCUCUGUUGUAAGAGAAGAACGGGUGUGAGAGUGGAAAGUUCACACUGUGACGUAUCUACCAGAAAGACGCA
Molecule: ribosomal RNA, 483 nt
Filed under: Streptococcus sanguinis
Lineage: Bacteria; Bacillati; Bacillota; Bacilli; Lactobacillales; Streptococcaceae
Description: bacterial SSU rRNA
Rfam family: Bacterial small subunit ribosomal RNA
Source: RNAcentral